RNAcentral lists this ribosomal RNA (253 nucleotides) under uncultured bacterium. Its description in RNAcentral is "partial 16S ribosomal RNA". It matches the Rfam family "Bacterial small subunit ribosomal RNA", at positions 524 to 776 of the family's 1533-position model. The record is from RNAcentral.
UACGGAGGGGGCUAGCGUUGUUCGGAAUUACUGGGCGUAAAGCGCACGUAGGCGGCUUUGUAAGUUAGAGGUGAAAGCCCGGGGCUCAACUCCGGAACUGCCCUUGAUACUGAGGAUCUUGAGUUCGGGAGAGGUGAGUGGAACUGCGAGUGUAGAGGUGAAAUUCGUAGAUAUUCGCAAGAACACCAGUGGCGAAGGCGGCUCACUGGCCCGAUACUGACGCUGAGGCACGAAAGCGUGGGGAGCAAACAGG